RNAcentral lists this ribosomal RNA (497 nucleotides) under uncultured bacterium. RNAcentral's name for it is "partial 16S ribosomal RNA". It matches the Rfam family "Bacterial small subunit ribosomal RNA", at positions 28 to 507 of the family's 1533-position model. The record is from RNAcentral.
GAUGAACGCUGGCGGCGUGCCUAAUACAUGCAAGUCGAGCGAACAGACGAGGAGCUUGCUCCUCUGACGUUAGCGGCGGACGGGUGAGUAACACGUGGAUAACCUACCUAUAAGACUGGGAUAACUUCGGGAAACCGGAGCUAAUACCGGGUAAUAUAUUGAACCGCAUGGUUCAAUAGUGAAAGACGGUUUUGCUGUCACUUAUAGAUGGAUCCGCGCCGCAUUAGCUAGUUGGUAAGGUAACGGCUUACCAAGGCAACGAUGCGUAGCCGACCUGAGAGGGUGAUCGGCCACACUGGAAGUGAGACACGGUCCAGACUCCUACGGGAGGCAGCAGUAGGGAAUCUUCCGCAAUGGGCGAAAGCUUGACGGAGCAACGCCGCGUGAGUGAUGAAGGUCUUCGGAUCGUAAAACUCUGUUAUUAGGGAAGAACAAAUGUGUAAGUAACUAUGCACGUCUUGACGGUACCUAAUCAGAAAGCCACGGCUAACUACGUG